GACGAACGCUGGCGGCGUGCUUAACACAUGCAAGUCGAACGGAAAGGCCCUGCUUUUGUGGGGUGCUCGAGUGGCGAACGGGUGAGUAACACGUGAGUAACCUGCCCUUGACUUUGGGAUAACUUCAGGAAACUGGGGCUAAUACCGGAUAGGAGCUCCUGCUGCAUGGUGGGGGUUGGAAAGUUUCGGCGGUUGGGGAUGGACUCGCGGCUUAUCAGCUUGUUGGUGGGGUAGUGGCUUACCAAGGCUUUGACGGGUAGCCGGCCUGAGAGGGUGACCGGCCACAUUGGGACUAAGGUACGGCCCAGACUCCUACGGGGGGCAGCAGUGGGGAAUAUUGCACAAUGGGCGGAAGCCUGAUGCAGCAACGCCGCGUGCGGGAUGACGGCCUUCGGGUUGUAAACCGCUUUCGCCUGUGACGAAGCGUGAGUGACGGUAAUGGGUAAAGAAGCACCGGCUAACUACGUG
This 468-nucleotide ribosomal RNA is filed under the name uncultured bacterium. RNAcentral's name for it is "partial 16S ribosomal RNA". It matches the Rfam family "Bacterial small subunit ribosomal RNA", at positions 28 to 507 of the family's 1533-position model. The record is from RNAcentral.